Molecule: small nucleolar RNA, 130 nt
Filed under: Myotis brandtii (Brandt's bat)
Lineage: Eukaryota; Metazoa; Chordata; Mammalia; Chiroptera; Vespertilionidae
Description: Small nucleolar RNA SNORA81
Rfam family: Small nucleolar RNA SNORA81
Source: Rfam by way of RNAcentral
ACCUUCUUGUAUAAGCACUAUGCUAAAAUUGCAGAAACUAGGAUCACAUCUUGGUUUUUGUAAUAAUGCUAGCAAAGUACACACAAGAAGAAAAGUAACUGAGAUGAUAAAAGGGCUGGCUCUAAUGUUU